This 806-nucleotide ribosomal RNA is filed under the name uncultured archaeon. RNAcentral's name for it is "bacterial SSU rRNA". It matches the Rfam family "Archaeal small subunit ribosomal RNA", at positions 85 to 876 of the family's 1478-position model. The record is from RNAcentral.
ACGGCUCAGUAACACGUAGUUAAUCUGCCCUCGGGACGAGAAUAACCCUGGGAAACUGGGGGUAAUUCUCGAUAGGCGCAGUGGCCUGGAAUGGUACCGCACCCAAAAGACUUUAGGAACAUGCUCCUGGAGUCGCCCAAGGAUGAGACUGCGGCCGAUCAGGUUGUUGGUGGGGUAACGGCCUACCAAGCCUAUAACCGGUACGGGCCCUGAGAGGGGGAGCCCGGAGAUGGGAACUGAGACAAGGUCCCAGGUCCUACGGGGCGCAGCAGGCGCGAAAACUCCACAAUGCGCGAAAGCGUGAUGGGGUUAACCCGAGUGCCGUCCGAUGAGGAUGGCUUUUCUUCAGUUUAAGGAUCUGGAGGAAUAAAGGGGGGGCAAGACUGGUGUCAGCCGCCGCGGUAAUACCAGCCCCCUGAGUGGUAGGGACGAUUAUUUGGCCUAAAGCGUCCGUAGCCUGUUUGGGAAGUCUUUCGUUAAAUCCGACGAUUCCAUCGUUGGGACGCGGAAGAUACUGCCAGACUUGAGGACGGGAGAGGUCGACGGUAGUCCUAGGGUAGGGGUGAAAUCCUAUAAUCCUAGGAGGACCACCAGUGGCGAAGGCGGUCGACUAGAACGUGCCUGACGGUGAUGGACGAAAGCUGGGGCACGAACCGGAUUAGAUACCCGGGUAGUCCUAGCCGUAAACGAUACUCGCUAGGUGUCGGCCACGGUGCGACCGUGGUCGGUGCCGUAGGGAAGCCGUGAAGCGAGCCACCUGGGAAGUACGGCCGCAAGGCUGAAACUUAAAGGAAUUGGCGGGGGAG